GAUGAACGCUGGCGGCGUGCCUAAUACAUGCAAGUCGAGCGAACAGAUAAGGAGCUUGCUCCUUUGAAGUUAGCGGCGGACGGGUGAGUAGCACGUGGGUAACCUACCUAUAAGACUGGGAUAACUUCGGGAAACCGGAGCUAAUACCGGAUAACAUUUAGAACCGCAUGGUUCUAAAGUGAAAGAUGGUUUUGCUAUCACUUAUAGAUGGACCCGCGCCGUAUUAGCUAGUUGGUAAGGUAACGGCUUACCAAGGCGACGAUACGUAGCCGACCUGAGAGGGUGAUCGGCCACACUGGAACUGAGACACGGUCCAGACUCCUACGGGAGGCAGCAGUAGGGAAUCUUCCGCAAUGGGCGAAAGCCUGACGGAGCAACGCCGCGUGAGUGAUGAAGGGUUUCGGCUCGUAAAACUCUGUUAUUAGGGAAGAACAAAUGUGUAAGUAACUGUGCACAUCUUGACGGUACCUAAUCAGAAAGCCACGGCUAACUACGUG
Molecule: ribosomal RNA, 497 nt
Filed under: uncultured bacterium
Lineage: Bacteria
Description: partial 16S ribosomal RNA
Rfam family: Bacterial small subunit ribosomal RNA
Source: RNAcentral